UCUCUUACAAAAGUCAGACCUUUUUUUUUAACCCAUUUCUUCCAUUCUGUUUAAAACAAAAAAGAAAAAAAAAAAGAGCUUUCAUUCUCUCAACCCUCCCCAAAAUCCGGCCUAAGGUCCGGCCGUGGCCACCCCCGCAGCGCCGCCGUGGCCUGUGGCUGGCAUUACACAAAAGGGGGAUUUUUCAGCCCGUUUCAAACCUCGUUUGGAGGCCGAGUUUUCUUGGCCCGAAUGCCGAGAGAAAGGACCCUUCGCCCCGCCUUUAGAGCUGAUUUCGGCGACGGAGAGGCCUCCGACGACACGGCCGAGGGGCGCCCAGGUGGUGUUAGAGAAACAUCAAACGCGUGGAGAGGCGGUGGCGUGCGGCGAUGGGCAUGCGAGGAGGCCAUGCGCAGGCCUAAGGGCGGCAGCUAGGAGCUGCGGCCUCAUGUGGCUAGGUUUUUUAUUUUGCUGAAAAUUUUUAAGCUUGUGGGUUUGUUUAGUUUUGGGCUUGUUGGGUUAGGGUUAAUUUGUAAUUGGGCUGUUUGGGUUUGUUGUAAAUGGACUGUUAUUAUUUGGACUCUUAACUGGUUUUGGGCCCGGGCAGAAAUUGGGUCUUACAAAAUGGAUAGGUAUUCAAAAUCAAA
Long non-coding RNA from Gossypium raimondii (Peruvian cotton), 626 nucleotides. RefSeq lists it as uncharacterized. Lineage: Eukaryota; Viridiplantae; Streptophyta; Magnoliopsida; Malvales; Malvaceae. The transcript is spliced from 2 exons. The record is from RefSeq and is a predicted model, not a curated record.